AUUGUCGCUGAGACACGGCUGUCUCCUCACAGGUAACAUCUGGUGAUGGCAGAUGAACAAUAUUAAACAAGGCAAUAGUCUUGUCUGGGACGUCUUGGGCGCCUGAGGAUGGUGCUGGUGUCACUGCGACUGCAGCAGGUGCCACAGUGUCGGUACGACGUUUCUUAAAAACACUUGAAAUCCUGCUAAUUAGAGACAGGUUGCCCUUGGACUUGGAGCUUUUAACUGGUGCAGCUCCUUCUUUUGAACCCUUGACCACCAGUGGAGAAGAGGUGAACUGCUCCUGAGGAACACUUACUGGGACAGCUGGUGACACUUUGGCUGGUGGUUUUGGUAAAGGAUGAAUGAUCCCUGUGGAAGAGACCUCAGGAACAUCUGACUGACUUCUUGUUGGGGUUCUAGGUCUGAACCUCUUCAGGUUCCCUUUAACAAAUGUUCCAAUCAUUUUGGUCAUGUGAUGAACCUUAGUAUCCGGUCUGUGGGCAAAUGUCUUAUGCCGUGGGGUCUCCUUGGGUGUCUCUAUAGUAGACUUGAUACUGUCCACUACAUCUUCCACAACUAAGCUCUUUAGAGAAUCUGAGCUCCCACAGCUGACUUCCACCACGUGAAGGACUUCUGCAAAGGUUGGUGGAAUUGAAUCACAGAUAAUGUCUGGUGAAUGCUGCUGAGACUGGACUGUCUCCUCACAAGUAAUGUCUGCUGAAUGCUGCUGAGACUGGACUGUCUCCUCACAGGUGACGUCUGGUGACUGCUGCUGAAACUGGACUGUCUCCUCACAGGUAAUGUCUGGUGAGUGUUGCUGAGACUGGACUGUCUCCUCACAGGUAAUGUCUUGUGAAUGCUGCUGAGACUGGACUGUCUCCUCACAGGUAACUUCUGGUGACUGCUGCUGAGACUGGACUGUCUCCUCACAGGUGACAUCUGGUGACUGCUGCUGAGACUGGACUGUCUCCUCACCGGUAACUUCUGGUGACUGCUGCUGAGACUGGACUGUCUCCUCACAGGUGACGUCUGGUGAAUGCUGCUGAGACUGGACUGUCUCCUCACAGGUGACGUCUGGUGACUGCUGCUGAGGCUUGACUGUCUCCUCACAGGUAUCUUUUGGUGACUGCUGCUGAACAAUAUUAAACAAGGCAAUGGUCUUGUCCGGGACAUCUUGGACAUAUGAGGAUGGUGUUGGUGCCAUUGCAACUGCAGCAGGUGCCACAGUGUCGGUGCGACGUUUCUUAAAAAAUCUUGAAAUCCUGCUAAUUAGAGACAGGUGGCCCUUAGACUUGGAGCUUUUAACUGGUGCAGCUCCUUCUUUUGAACCCUUGACCACCAGUUGAGAAGAGGUGAACUGCUCCUGAGAAACACUUACUGGGACAGCUGGUGACACUUUGGCCGGUGGUUUUGGUAAGUGAUGAAUGAUCUCUGUGGAAGAGACCUCAGGAACAUCUGACUGACUUCUUGUUGGGGUUCUGGGUCUGCACCUUUUCAGGUUCCCUUUAACAAAUGUUCCAAUCAUUUUGGUCAUGUGAUGAACCUUAGUAUCCAGUCUGUGGGCAAAUGUCUUAUGCCGUGGGGUCUCCUUGGGUGUCUCUAUAGUAGACUUGAUACUGUCCACUACAUCUUCCACAACUAAGCUCUUUAGAGAAUCUGAGCUCUCACAGCUGACUUCCUCCGAAUGUAGGACUUCUGCAAAGGUUGGUGGAAUUGAAUCUCCUAGAGAAGUCACCACCUCAGUGACUAAAUCUUUUUCUUUCUCUUCCUUCAGUGCCGCCAGCACUGAUUUACAGAUGAGUACUUCUAUGUUAAACAGAAGCUCUCUCAACAUUUGCUGGGUGUCAUCAUCAGGCUGGCCUGAUACCAGAGCUGCCCACUGCUGUGAGGUAAUCCUAUUGAAGAAGGUUACAAUGAGUGGGCGAACCAUGUCCACUGUAACCUUUCUGAUGUCCUCAGUAUCUAAACUGGCUCUUCUAUCCAUGGUGGUUUGGUGCUUUGUCUUUUGAUGAAAAAAUCGUGAUGAGUUGCUUUCUUAGUUUCCUCAAACUGUAGCUCACUCCAACAACAACCAUCUAAAUGCUUCAGUCUCAUCUGGACCUAAACUGGAUCUGAC
Long non-coding RNA from Amphiprion ocellaris (clown anemonefish), 2098 nucleotides. NCBI's taxonomy places the organism in Eukaryota, Metazoa, Chordata, Actinopteri, Pomacentridae. The record is from Ensembl.